AAUCGAACCCGGAGAUAGCUGGUUCUCCUCGAAAUAGCUUUAGGGCUAGCCUCGAUUUAGUCUUAUGGAGGUAGAGCACUGAAUUUCCGCGGGGGCGUCAAAGCUUACCAAAGAAUAUCAAACUCCGAAUGCCAUGUAGAUGAUGAUCGGGAGUCAGACUGCACGAGAUAAGUUGGGCAGUCAAAAGGGAAAGAGCCCAGACCUUCAGUUAAGGUCCCCAAGUGCGCGUUAAGUGGAAAAGGAUGUGGGAUUUCGAAGACAACCAGGAUGUUGGCUCAGAAGCAGCCAUCCAUUCAAAGAGUGCGUAAUAGCUCACUGGUCGAGAGGUCCUGCGCCGAAAAUGUCCGGGGCUGAAACGCGCCACCGAAACUAAGGAACCGAAAGGUUGGUAGAGGAGCAUUGCAUGCGGGAAGAAGCAGUACCGUAAGGAGCUGUGGACUGCAUGGAAGAGAGAAUGCCGGAAUGAGUAGCGAGAUAGAGGUGGGAAUCCUCUAGGCCGAAUAUCCAAGGUUUCCAGAGUAAAGCUGAUCUGCUCUGGGUAAGUCGGGGCCUAAGCACAGGUCGCAAGACGUAAGCGAUGGAUAACAGGUUUAGAUUCCUGUACCACGCAUUAUCAGAACUGUAGGGACGCAUGUGGAAAGCACGAGCCGGGAAUGGAAAGACCGGUACAAGCGGGGUAGGUGUACAAUAGGCAAAUCCGUUGUAUGAUCCGAAGACGUGAUGUGGAGCGAAAUAAAGUAGUGAAGCGUGUGAGCCAUGUGCCGAGAAAAGCUGCUAUUGUGUAAUGCGUGCCCGUACCGUAAACCGACACAGGUGGAUGAGGAGAGAAUCCUAAGGCCGACGGAAGAAGCAUUGUUAAGGAAUUCGGCAAAAUGACCCCGUAACUUCGGGAGAAGGGGUGCCUGCGAGAGCAGGCCGCAGAGAAUAGGCUCAAGCAACUGUUUAGCAAAAACACAGGUCUAUGCGAAACCGAAAGGUGAGGUAUAUGGGCUGACGCCUGCCCGGUGCUGGAAGGUUAAGAGGAGAGGUUAGCGCAAGCGAAGCUUUGAAUUUAAGCCCCAGUAAACGGCGGCCGUAACUAUAACGGUCCUAAGGUAGCGAAAUUCCUUGUCGGGUAAGUUCCGACCCGCACGAAAGGCGUAAUGAUUUGAGCGCUGUCUCGACAAUGCAUCCGGUGAAAUUGAAGUACCAGUGAAGAUGCUGGUUACCUGCGCCAGGACGGAAAGACCCCAUGGAGCUUUACUCCAGCUUGAUACUGGGAUUCGGUAUUGCAUGUACAGGAUAGGUGGGAGGCUAGGAGAUGGUAACGCCAGUUGCCAUGGAGCCGCUGUUGGGAUACCACCCUUGCAGUAUUGGGUUUCUAACCAGCCGCCGUGACCCGGCGGUGGGACAAUGCCAGACGGGGAGUUUGACUGGGGCGGUCGCCUCCGAAAGGGUAUCGGAGGCGCCCAAAGGUUCCCUCAGAAUGGACGGAAACCAUUCGAAGAGUGCAAAGGCAGAAGGGAGCUUGACUGCGACACCGACGGGUGGAGCAGGUACGAAAGUAGGACUUAGUGAUCCGGUGGUAUAAAGUGGGAUUGCCAUCGCUCAACGGAUAAAAGCUACCCUGGGGAUAACAGGCUUAUCACUCCCAAGAGUUCACAUCGACGGAGUGGUUUGGCACCUCGAUGUCGGCUCAUCGCAUCCUGGGGCUGUAGUAGGUCCCAAGGGUUGGGCUGUUCGCCCAUUAAAGCGGUACGCGAGCUGGGUUCAGAACGUCGUGAGACAGUUCGGUCCCUAUCUGUCGUGGGCGCAGGAUAUUUGAGGAGCUCUGUCCUUAGUACGAGAGGACCGGGAUGGACGUACCUCUGGUGCACCAGUUGUCCUGCCAAGGGCAUAGCUGGGUAGCUAUGUACGGACGAGAUAAACGCUGAAAGCAUCUAAGCGUGAAACUCCCCCUAAGAUGAGAUCUCUCAUCCAUUUGGAGUAAGGGCCCAGAAAGACGAUCUGGUUGAUAGGCCGGAAGUGGAAGUGCAGUAAUGCAUGCAGCUGACCGGUACUAAUAGCCCGAGGGCUUGACCU
This 2061-nucleotide ribosomal RNA is filed under the name human gut metagenome. RNAcentral's name for it is "bacterial LSU rRNA". It matches the Rfam family "Bacterial large subunit ribosomal RNA", at positions 831 to 2925 of the family's 2925-position model. The record is from RNAcentral.